Molecule: long non-coding RNA, 474 nt
Filed under: Hordeum vulgare
Lineage: Eukaryota; Viridiplantae; Streptophyta; Magnoliopsida; Poales; Poaceae
Description: long non-coding RNA (HVUL_LNC019873)
Source: RNAcentral
UUUUACUUUAAGAUAAGAUGGUCUUAUAAUUAUUUUUCCAGUUGCACAUGCGGUGCACAUAAAAUUUGAUGAUUUUGGAAAAAUUUUAGUUGGAAGGCUAUGACCAAUAGAAUUAUCAAUAGUUUUUCUCAUCAUCCCUAUGUCAGGAUGACCUAGGCGAUCAUGCCAAGUCUUCAAUUUAUCAAGAUCUUCAAUUUUUUUUGUACGCAACAUGUGGUACGGGUUUUAUAUAACUGUAAUAUAAUCCAGAUGAAAGUGAGGGGAAUUUUUCAAGAAUUUGUUUCUCAGACCCAUUGCUCUUUGUUAAAAGCAAAUAUUCAUAAUUAUUUUCAAAAAUUGUUUUCAGAUAGAAAUAUUUGAUCUGAGGUAUUUGAAACUUAGAAUGGUGCGUGUAGAUUCAGGAUACAAGAGUGCAUCCUCAAUUACAAUCGUAGCAUCCAUAGGUAGAACAAGUGUGGCCCGUCCUGAACCAAU